This 468-nucleotide ribosomal RNA is filed under the name uncultured bacterium. Its description in RNAcentral is "partial 16S ribosomal RNA". It matches the Rfam family "Bacterial small subunit ribosomal RNA", at positions 28 to 507 of the family's 1533-position model. The record is from RNAcentral.
GACGAACGCUGGUGGCGUGCUUAACACAUGCAAGUCGAACGGAAAGGCCCUGCUUUUGUGGGGUGCUCGAGUGGCGAACGGGUGAGUAACACGUGAGUAACCUGCCCUUGACUUUGGGAUAACUUCAGGAAACUGGGGCUAAUACCGGAUAGGAGCUCCUGCUGCAUGGUUGGGGUUGGAAAGUUUCGGCGGUUGGGGAUGGACUCGCGGCUUAUCAGCUUGUUGGUGGGGUAGUGGCUUACCAAGGCUUUGACGGGUAGCCGGCCUGGGAGGGUGACCGGCCACAUUGGGACUGAGAUACGGCCCAGACUCCUACGGGAGGCAGCAGUGGGGAAUAUUGACCAAUGGGCGGAAGCCUGAUGCAGCAACGCCGCGUGCGGGAUGACGGCCUUCGGGUUGUAAACCGCUUUCGCCUGUGACGAAGCGUGAGUGACGGUAAUGGGUAAAGAAGCACCGGCUAACUACGUG